Molecule: small nucleolar RNA, 132 nt
Filed under: Castor canadensis (American beaver)
Lineage: Eukaryota; Metazoa; Chordata; Mammalia; Rodentia; Castoridae
Description: Small nucleolar RNA SNORA51 (ENSCCNG00000017468.1)
Rfam family: Small nucleolar RNA SNORA51
About the family: ACA51 is a member of the H/ACA class of snoRNA that guide the sites of modification of uridines to pseudouridines.
Source: Rfam by way of RNAcentral
GGCUUCCUGGUGCUUACCACAGGGUGUGUUCUUACACUGACUGUACAGUAAGAGGAGGAAAAGAAAUCCAGCCCCACAUACACCUCAGUCCAGGGCCUGCGCCUGGUCUGUACUGUGAAUGGGGAGAAGGAG